Long non-coding RNA from Chroicocephalus ridibundus (black-headed gull), 1353 nucleotides. RefSeq lists it as uncharacterized. NCBI's taxonomy places the organism in Eukaryota, Metazoa, Chordata, Aves, Charadriiformes, Laridae. The record is from RefSeq and is a predicted model, not a curated record. The transcript has 4 exons.
GGAAAAAAGCUAGUGGUCUUUUUACUGAUUCUGUGUAAUUUUUAUCUGAAAGACAGUUGGGAUGAGAAAGAAGUUGGGGAAAAACUGGUCCUUGCUGUGUGACUGUAGAAGGGAGAAACAAACGUCUAGCAGGGAUUGUUCCAGCUGGUGUAUGGCAGCCCGGUGUACCUGCAACAAGCAAGCUGGCCCCUACCUUCUGCUUAGCAAGCCAAAUAAUAGUUAGCCAGUAUUGCCUCCAAUUACAACAGGUACUGUGACUUCGUAUCUUAGUUUGUUCUCUUAAACUACCUGCAGUUCUCCUAUCCAGCAGUACUGUGAAUGACAGCCCUGCUUCUCCUUCUCAGAGAGAGCUGAUUACUGAGACGGCAGCCAUGUCUGGAGAACUUAGAAAGAGGAAAACUCUGAAUCCUGAGCAUUAGCUAUAGUAGAAAAUCCAGAACUCUUCAACCUCUGUAUCUGACCUCUACACAAACUGUUCGGCAGUGGGAGAGUGAAAUAUGCAGCUGUAUCUAUUCCUAUCGUAUUAGCAGUUAUGGUCUUUCUGUUGCUUUUAUGGCACCUUCUCUCACGAUCAGCUGAGCUCAUGAGAAACUGAGGAAGAAUCAUAAAACUGUUGGUUGGGAGGAGCCCCAGCCUGAUGCUCGGACCAGAACUUACAGCAGCAGUAGCUCAAGUCAGCCUGUCGUACGCAAACAGCCAUUCACCACAUUUAAAACCAGACUUACUUUCGUUCCAGCUAGCCUCACCUCUGUCAGGGAUGGAACUUGCAAAUUAAAUGUAUAAUGGAGAGCCAGGGACAGAUAAUACAAGGAUGUGACUUGUAACUUUUGCCACUUAUUGCUGCUUUGUUCCCAGUCCUAAACACCAGGAUACAGACCUGAACCAGAGGAAAGGGAAGGCAGUGUACUGUAAUUCAUUAGCAAUCCCUUGAUUUUGCCAGUGGGACUCUCAGUAAUCUCACAAUUUUUCAAAAACAGUAUGUUCUCUCCAUAUACGUUACAAGGUCAGCUUUUCCAAAUUUUAUAAAAAGAUGCUAUUGCUUGUAUGUGAUUGUACCUCUUAUCAAAUACUUUUGGCAAAACAAAAUUGGCAAGUGAUUUUUUUUUUUUCCCCCAUAAUGAAUGUUAACUUUAUUUUGAACAUGCAGUAGAUAUUUUUUCCCCCACAAAUUUAAAUUUCAGAUUGUACAGUAUGUUCUGUGUAUAUGCAUGCGUUUAUAUUUACAUUAGAAUAUAAUGGAUCAUAGUUAAGUAUUUUUUUGCAGGAAUGUGAAAAUAGUCAUGUGGAAAACCACGAGCUAUUUAAAAACAAGUUAUAUACUCAGAGGAAAACUGAAAGACCUAGAAACAAGCA